This 801-nucleotide long non-coding RNA is filed under the name Salmo trutta (river trout). RNAcentral's name for it is "lncRNA (ENSSTUG00000032874.1)". The record is from RNAcentral. Lineage: Eukaryota; Metazoa; Chordata; Actinopteri; Salmoniformes; Salmonidae.
GAUUGUGUGUGUGUAUAUGUGUUUGUGUCUGUGUGUUCUCCUUAGCUGCUGUUGUGUCCGUCAGGGGACAAGUCGUCAUGUCGUGAGAUGGUGGUUCAUAGCAACAGUCUCCAGGUUGGAGGUUUGACCCCAGGAUCAGAUUAUGACAUCACCGUCCUGAGCCUGCUGGUAUCAGACUUCAGCCAGCCUGUCACUACACAGUUCUCCACACGUCCGGCCGGUGUGUGUUCCCUCUCUCUGCUCUAUGUUAACUCUUCCUGUGCCGUGGUGAGGUGGGACGCUGCCAUUGGCCAGUUUGACUUCCACAGGGUAACUGUUGGAAAUGGCUCGCAAACACAUACGAUAGAGGUCUCCAAGGAGAGGCAGGUUGCUACAGUAACUGGGUUGAGGGAUGGCUGUAUGUACAACAUGAGCGUGGAGCACAUUAGACGAGGAGAGGCAGGGACAGCUGCCUCCCUGACUGUAACCACAGUGCCGGGCCGUGUGCGGGGUGUAAAUGUGGUUAGUGUGUCUGCUCAGAACUUCUCUCUGCGUUGGGACCAGUCAGAGGGGUGUGUGGACCAGUACCUCGUCAGCCUGCUGCCCAACCAAGGAACUGUCUCUGUCUACCGCACACACGACAGACUCGUACAGGCUGACGUAUCCAGUCUGAGUCCUCGAACAGCGUUUAUGGUCAUGGUGACCGCCGCCUCCUCCUCCAACCUCAGCCCACCGGUCAGCCGCAUAAUCAACACCAACAAGACCGGUGAGAUGUGUUACAGCUGAACUGAUAGUGGCCUGCUCUGAGGAAACAUUGGCUCU